AUGCCGAAGGCGCACGAGGAGGAGGUGCCGGCGGCGGGGGCGGACAGCGAGGAGCUCGAGCCGCUCUUCGACUACUCCCGCGUGCAGCCCACCAUCGACUUCUGCUUCGACGAUUCCGACCUCGAGAAGUCGGACAUCUUCGUCCACUGCAACAAGCGCCCCAAGGUGCCCGCCGACAACGCGAACGCUGUCGAGGGGGGUAAGGCUAAUGAGAAGGGCGACGCCGGCAUAAAGAAGGCCACGGUGGUGAAUUUGGAUGAUGAGGAUUGGCUGGCUCCGCCGCCGCUGAAGCCUCUGCUUAGCACUGAAGUAUGCAAGGAUAAAACGAUGCACGAGCUGAGGUUAAAGAAACAAGAGGUAGAAAAACUGUCUGAUGAUGCAUUUGAAAAGGUUGUUGAAACUGUUAAGAAAGACAUGGCAGCCAAGAAGCCGCCUGAACCUAUAUUUCUUGAUGAGCCAACCGAAUCAGAGAAAUCCAAAGAAAAGAUCUGCAUAGUGGUUCAGGAAAAGGAUGGAAGGCAGCAGUUCCGUGUAUGCAAGGAUGAGAAGUUCGACAAGCUUUUCAAGGCGUAUGCUAAGAAGGUCCAGGUCAGCCCAUCCGAUCUGACUUUCGUAUUUGAUGGCGACAAAAUAAACCCAGCAAGUACACCCCAGGACCUUGACCUGGAGGAUGAAGACAUGAUUGAGGUGCACCAUAAGCCAACUCUAGACAAGCCAGCUGAAGCAUACGUGAAGAAAUCGCGAGAAAAGAUACUUAUAAUGAUUCAGGACAAAGAUGUGAAGCUGCAGUUCCGUGUAUACAAGGAUGAGAAAUUUGACAAGCUUUUCAAGGUGUAUGCUAAGAAGGUUCAACUCAAGCCAUCUGAUCUGAUUUUCAUAUUCGAUGGUGACAAAAUAAACUCGGCUAGUACGCCCCAGGACCUUGACUUGGAGAAUGAUGACAUGAUUGAGGUGCGCCAUAAAUCCCACUGA
Molecule: ribosomal RNA, 972 nt
Filed under: Triticum aestivum (bread wheat)
Lineage: Eukaryota; Viridiplantae; Streptophyta; Magnoliopsida; Poales; Poaceae
Description: partial small subunit ribosomal RNA
Source: RNAcentral